GAGGUUGUGGCUCAGCGGUAGAGCCCUUGCCUAGCAUGUAUGAGGCCCUGGGUUCAAUCCUCAGCACCACA
This 71-nucleotide transfer RNA is filed under the name Marmota monax (woodchuck). Its description in RNAcentral is "tRNA.Ala". It matches the Rfam family "tRNA". From Rfam's summary of the family: Transfer RNA (tRNA) molecules are approximately 80 nucleotides in length. Their secondary structure includes four short double-helical elements and three loops (D, anti-codon, and T loops). Further hydrogen bonds mediate the characteristic L-shaped molecular structure. tRNAs have two regions of fundamental functional importance: the anti-codon, which is responsible for specific mRNA codon recognition, and the 3' end, to which the tRNAs corresponding amino acid is attached (by aminoacyl-tRNA synthetases). tRNAs cope with the degeneracy of the genetic code in two manners: having more than one tRNA (with a specific anti-codon) for a particular amino acid; and 'wobble' base-pairing, i.e. permitting non-standard base-pairing at the 3rd anti-codon position. The record is from RNAcentral. Lineage: Eukaryota; Metazoa; Chordata; Mammalia; Rodentia; Sciuridae.